UGUGUGUGUGUGUGUGUGAUGACCUAAGAUGAUUUUGGUGUUAUUUUCUUCUGUAGUAUCUGUGGAAUAAACUGCAGAUCAUUUUGUGGAUGGGUGUGUAAGAGAUCAGACUCAUCUGAUCCACCUUUGCAGCUCCAAUAUGGAUGACGCACAGACAUCCAGUGAUGGAGACUUUUGUCCAGGAAUCAGUUCAGUCAAGCCUAUGAGAACAGAAUCAGCAGAGCCCAGCUGUGUGUCAAUGAAGAGUGAUCAGUCUAUGAACCCACCACUGUUUUUUAAUGAUGGAAACACAUCAUCUAGCAGCAGAAAGAGAAAACACUGCAUGAAGAUGAAUCUACCAAAACCCAGCCAUGUUCCUGUGAAGAGGGACUGUUCAGUGGAUCAGCCAAUACUUUCCACUGGUGGAAACGCUGCCUGCUGUGUUGUCGUAGCACAUCCACACAGGAGAACAGAUACAUAAACUGUUUUCAGCCAUGAAGUCCUCAACACGUUUAAAUCAAAUCUGAAGAAUAAGUUUCAGUGCCUUUAUGAGGGAACAGCGACGCAGGGAAACCCAACACUCCUGAAUGAG
Long non-coding RNA from Cyprinus carpio (common carp), 571 nucleotides. Lineage: Eukaryota; Metazoa; Chordata; Actinopteri; Cypriniformes; Cyprinidae. The record is from Ensembl.